UCACUCACUCUCUCACUUCGUGACUUUAAUUUUACACAAACUUUAUCACGAACAGGAGCUCUGUAUUUUAAGAGCUGCAUAGUGUUGUAUAACUAAUUUGAGAAAUGAGUGUAAAUUUAGCUCAAACAUUUUGAAGUCUCUGUAUUUCACUGUGUAAUUUCUUUUUUUCUUCUGAAAUAUAUCAUCCGUCAGCAGUGCGUAAGGACAGUCUAAAUCAACUUCCAUUCACCUGCCGUUCAGCGCUUUGGGACUCUUCGUCAGCAAGCUCCUUCUGACAGUUAUUUAUAGCUCAACAUUUCAGCAAGAUAAUUGCAGUGUACAUAGAGGCAGGGAGGCAGCACCAGUUAGAACUCUCCUACCCUUUCCAGCAGCAUCUUGGACUAUAUCCCGCCUUGCUAGAUUGACUUACAUC
Molecule: long non-coding RNA, 412 nt
Filed under: Calidris pygmaea (Spoon-billed sandpiper)
Lineage: Eukaryota; Metazoa; Chordata; Aves; Charadriiformes; Scolopacidae
Description: lncRNA (ENSCPGG00000011813.1)
Source: RNAcentral